RNAcentral lists this ribosomal RNA (288 nucleotides) under Stachybotrys elegans. RNAcentral's name for it is "partial small subunit ribosomal RNA". It matches the Rfam family "Bacterial large subunit ribosomal RNA", at positions 603 to 903 of the family's 2925-position model. Lineage: Eukaryota; Fungi; Ascomycota; Sordariomycetes; Hypocreales; Stachybotryaceae. The record is from RNAcentral.
ACCUUUUGCAUAAUGGGUCACCGAGUUAACAUUAGAUGCAAGUAUCUUAAUAUUAGAUUAAGCAUACGUAGAUAAACCGAGCGUUAAAAUAACGGAAUAGUAUCUAAAGUUAGACCCGAAGCCUGGUGAUUUUACCACAAUCAGGAUUAUAAAAGUCCGAACGGGUUAUUGUUGCAUAAAUAUCCGAAGAAUUGUGGUAGGUAUAGUGAAAGACAACACUGACUAGGAAUAGCUGGUUUUCUGCGAAACCUAUGAUAGUAGGCAAUUUAAAUAAAUAUCUUAGCAGGU